This 443-nucleotide ribosomal RNA is filed under the name uncultured bacterium. RNAcentral describes it as "partial 16S ribosomal RNA". It matches the Rfam family "Bacterial small subunit ribosomal RNA", at positions 338 to 795 of the family's 1533-position model. The record is from RNAcentral.
UCUACGGGAGGCAGCAGUGGGGGAUAUUGGACAAUGGGGGGAACCCUGAUCCAGCGACGCCGCGUGAGUGAAGAAGGCUUUCGGUAUGUAAAGCUCUGUCAGCAGGGAAGAAAGAAAUGACGGUACCUGACCACGAAGCCCCGGCUAACUACGUGCCCGCAGCAGCGGUAAUACGUAGGGGGCAUGCGUUAUCGGGAUUUACUGGGUGUAAAGGGAGCGUAGACGGUUAAGUAAGUCUGGAGUGAAAGGCCGGGGCCAAACCCCGGGACUGGUCUGGAGACUAUGGAACUUGAGUGCAGGAGAGGUAAGCGGAAUUGCUGGUGUAGCGGUGAAAUGCGUAGAUAUUAGGAGGAACACCAGUGGCGAAGGCGGCUUACUGGACUGUAACUGACGUUGAGGCUCGAAAGCGUGGGGAUCAAACAGGAUUAGAUACCCUUGUAGUC